GGGGGACCCCAAAAAAGAGGGAAGGGACCCCAAAAAGGAGGGGAGGAACAUCAAAAAUAGAGCGGGAACCCCAAAAAUAGAGAGGGAACCCCAAAACCGACCCCCCCUCCCCCUCCCCCCCUUUUCCUUCCUCUUCUCCCCCGGGGCCGCCCCUCCCCCACUCCCAGUGCUCCCAGUAAACCCAGUGUCGAUUCCCAGUGCUCCCAGUGCUCCCAGUAUCGAUUCCCAGUGCUCCCAGUAAACCCAGUAUCGAUUCCCAGUGCCCCCAGUAUCAAUCCCCAGUUACCCCAGUCCCACUUCUUGGUAUUCCCGGCUCUCCCAGUGCUCCCAGUUCACCCAGGAUCAAUUCCCAGUUACCCCAGUUCCAGUUCUCGACGUUCCCAGUGCUCCCAGUUCCGGAUCCCAGCUCUCCCAGUGCUCCCAGUAUCAAUUCCCAGUUCUCCCAGUGCUCCCAGUGCUCCCAGUAUCGAUUCCCAGUGCUCCCAGUGCUCCCAGUCCCAGUUCCCAGUGCUCCCAGUAAACCCAGAAUCAAUUCCCAGUUACCCCAGUCCCAGUUCCCAACACUCCCAAUGCUCCCAGUUCCGGAUCCCAGCUCUCCCAGUGCUCCCAGUAAACCCAGUAUCGAUUCCCAGUGCUCCCAGUAAACCCAGUAUCGAUUCCCAGUUACCCCAGUCCCACUUCUCAGUAUUCCCGGUUCUCCCAGUGCUCCCAGUCCCAGUUCCCAGGGCUCCCAGUACCCCUAAUCCCAGUUCCCAGUAUUCCCAGUGCUCCCAGUCCCAGUUCCCGGCUCUCCCAGCGCUCCCAGUAUCAAUUCCCGGUGCUCCCAGUGCUCCCAGUACAGAUUCCCAGUGCUCCCAGUACCCCUAAUCCCAGUUCCCAGUGCUCCCAGUGCUCCCAGUUCCAAUUCCCAGUGCUCCCAGUGCUCCCAGUACCCCUAAUCCCAGUUCCGAUUCCCAGUGCUCCCAGUCCCAGUUCCCGGCUCUCCCAGUGCUCCCAGUACCCCUAAUCCCAGGUCCCAGUAUUCCCAGUGCUCCCAGUAUCAAUUCCCAGUGCUCCCAGUACAGAUUCCCAGUGCUCCCAGUACCCCUAAUCCCAGGUCCCAGUAUUCCCAGUGCUCCCAGUUCCGGAUCCCAGCGCUCCCAGUGCCACUUCCCGGUUUUCCCGGCGCUCCCAGUUCCGGAUCCCGGCGCUCCCAGCGCCGCUCCCAGUUCCCGCAGCCCCCGGUUCCAGUUCUCCCAGUGCUCCCAGUAUCGAUUCCCAGCUCUCCCAGUUGCUCCCAGUACCCGUUACCGGCGCCGCCCGCUGCCCCCGGCGCCCGUUACCGGCACCCCCGGGACCGCCCGCCGCCCGUUACCGGCUCUCCCAGUUCAUCCCAAUCCCUCCCAGGGCUCCCAGUUCAUCCCAGAGCUCCCAGUUCCGCCCGGUGCUCCCAGUACCGACCCCCAGGUCCCCCGGUGCCGCUCCCCGGUUCCCGU
Molecule: long non-coding RNA, 1475 nt
Filed under: Junco hyemalis (dark-eyed junco)
Lineage: Eukaryota; Metazoa; Chordata; Aves; Passeriformes; Passerellidae
Description: lncRNA (ENSJHYG00000013044.1)
Source: RNAcentral